RNAcentral lists this ribosomal RNA (257 nucleotides) under uncultured bacterium. RNAcentral describes it as "partial 16S ribosomal RNA". It matches the Rfam family "Bacterial small subunit ribosomal RNA", at positions 524 to 776 of the family's 1533-position model. The record is from RNAcentral.
UACGUAGGUGGCGAGCGUUUGUCCGGAUUUAUUGGGUUUAAAGGGUGCGUAGGCGGCUUUGUAAGUCAGUGGUGAAAUACUCCAGCUUAACUGGAGGGGUGCCAUUGAUACUGCGGAGCUUGAGUACAGAUGAGGUAGGCGGAAUUUGACGGUGUAGCGGUGAAAAUGCAUAGAUAUCGUCAAGAACACCGAUAGCGAAGGCAGCUUACUGGGCUGUAACUGACGCUGAUGCACGAAAAGUGUGGGGAUCAAACAGG